This 472-nucleotide ribosomal RNA is filed under the name uncultured bacterium. RNAcentral describes it as "bacterial SSU rRNA". It matches the Rfam family "Bacterial small subunit ribosomal RNA", at positions 355 to 825 of the family's 1533-position model. The record is from RNAcentral.
UGGGGAAUAUUGGACAAUGGGGGCAACCCUGAUCCAGCGAUGCCGCGUGUGUGAAGAAGGCCUGCGGGUUGUAAAGCACUUUAGUUGGGGAGGAAAGGUUUGAGCUGCAUAAGUUCAAGCUGUGACGUUACCCAAAGAAUAAGCACCGGCAAACUCUGUGCCAGCAGCCGCGGUAAUACAGAGGGUGCAAGCGUUAAUCGGACUUACUGGGCGUAAAGGGUGCGUAGGCGGAAGGAUAAGUUAGUUGUGAAAGGCCUGGGCUUAACCUGGGAACUGCGUCUGAUACUGGAGGGCUUGAGUAUGGGAGAGGGAUGUAGAAUUCCAGGUGUAGCGGUGAAAUGCGUAGGGAUCGGAAAGAACACUCGUGGCGAAGGCGGCUUUCUGGCCCAUAACUGACGCUGAGGUGCGAAAGCAUGGGGAGCAAACAGGAUUAGAUACCCUUGUAGUCCCUGAGCGGGCUGGCAAGGCGCAU